UAAUCUGGAGGUUGAUCUACCACCGAUUCGUGUCAAAAGGUCUGAGAAACCAAGGAUCAAGAAGAAAGUAAAAGUUAAUAAACCAUCACAUGAUAAGCACGGGCAACGUUUAAAGUUCUGUCCCCACUGUCCUUACUCGUCAUAUAAUAACCUAAACAGACAUUUGUCUACUCAUUCUGGAAUUAAACCAUUCCAAUGUUCCAAGUGCCCCAAAGCAUUCUUCGGCAGCCAUGAGUUACAACGGCAUGCAAAAUCAUGUGGCAAAGUAACACGUCGUAAAAUUGGAUUUCGGAAAUUGUUGGACAAAAGGCAGAAUAUACGCUCUACAGAGAUUGUACCCCCAAAACCUGCAGAGAUAAUAUGCAAUUUCAACAUUUCUUUGCCAGACUCAAGUGACGAUUCUGAAGAGGAAGAACUGACUGAUGUAAGGAACCUCCAACAAAAAGUUCGUGAGCAGAAGGAGAUAAUCAAGGAUCUUCGCGCAGAGAUUAAUAAUCUUAAAAGUAGUCGCCCAUAGGCUCGAAAGUGGAUAAAAUGCUUUCCACAAUCUCAAAUUUAUGAUUUUGUCGUUUUUUUUGCUAGUUAUAUGUGAUAUGCUACUUAGUUUCAAUUUGUCUGGUGAGUUAGUGAGAUGUUGAUAAUAAAUUAUUGUGUGUAAUUGAUACAUACCUUUUCAAU
Molecule: long non-coding RNA, 678 nt
Organism: Folsomia candida
Lineage: Eukaryota; Metazoa; Arthropoda; Collembola; Entomobryomorpha; Isotomidae
Exons: 3
Source: RefSeq, a predicted model, not a curated record